GUAUCUUCAGAAGCCAAGGUUCUCCACCCUUCACAGAUUGAAGACCAGGCAUCUAAGGACACCCCCCCCACACACACACACACACUGCUACUUCUCAUGUCAGUCUACAAGACCAAGAGGACGUGAGUUUGGUCUCCAACUCCCACAUGGUGGCUUACAACUAUCCAUAACUCCAGAUCCUGAGUACCAGAGGAUCUGGCAUCUUCUUCUGACUUCCUCAGGCAACCUGAAGACAUUUCUAUCAAACGCUGCAGUACAUUCAUCAUGGAAUAACAAAGGAUAAAUCACUGUACACUCAGUUUUAAGUGUUUUCUUCAGAGCCACUUUGUUUUGAGGACAAGUCAAACCUUUUCAGGGCUCAACCUCACCUCAAAGUUACUAUCAACACUUUCACAUAAUUCUUGAUCCCAAAGAUAUGAAAAACUCCCCUUCCUAAUAUUCUGCCCCCUAAAUUAUGCCAGUCUUCUGUUUCAUUGUGGAAGACUACCAGUUUGUUUCCCCAGCUCUGCCAACUCCUCCUUUCUUGGUCAGUCAUCCUACAGAAUCUCAUUCUCCAUGUGAGUUCUUCCCUCCUGUCCCUAGUGCUGUAUCUUUAAUAUACACUGCUCAUUGUAUUUCCCUUUAAAGAACGUAUUACUUACUUUAAAUAUAAUUGCUAUGUCUGCACAUAUUUGAAAGUCAGAGGACAACUUGAGUGAGUCAACUCUCUCCUUUCACCAUACCAAUCCCAGAUAUUGAACUCAAGUCAUCAGGCUUGGUGGCAAGCACCUUUGCCUGCCAAGUCAUCCCACGAGCCCAUCACUCACUUUUUCAUUUAGUAUUUCCUUUACCAAGUUUUCAAUGGCAAGGAUGUUGUUUAGUGAUGAGUAUGUUCCAAGUCUCACAACAUCCGCAUCUAGUAGGUGCUCUGGCUCAGCUGAGCAGAUGAAAGGAGCAAGUCUUAUCUGUCCCGACAUUGCCAAAAAACUACACCCUUCUUGUGAAGCGUGCCUGCUAAAAUACUUCAGUCUACGUGGAGUGACUGUGGAGGGAAAGCAGUGACUAUUAGUGUUCAGGCAUCUGUACUGGCUUGUCCUUGGGGUUCUGACAGGAUACGCCCUCAGCUGCAGACACUAAAAGCACCACCUAUGCAUAUUCACUAAGCUCCCAUCCUUCUCUCUCUCCAUCUGUCUUCCUUUCUCCCCCCUUUCCUCUCUCCCUUUCUUUCCU
Mesocricetus auratus (golden hamster) is the source of this 1209-nucleotide long non-coding RNA. RefSeq lists it as uncharacterized. The record is from RefSeq and is a predicted model, not a curated record. NCBI's taxonomy places the organism in Eukaryota, Metazoa, Chordata, Mammalia, Rodentia, Cricetidae. The transcript is spliced from 3 exons.